Pelobates cultripes (western spadefoot toad) is the source of this 222-nucleotide non-coding RNA. Lineage: Eukaryota; Metazoa; Chordata; Amphibia; Anura; Pelobatidae. The record is from the annotation of a GenBank genome assembly.
AUUAGGUGCAUGGUUUAUAUCUAAUUUAGGAAUGCAUAUGGAUUAGAAUCCCAUUACUUUCUCUGCUAAUGAGAUCAGCAUGUGGUAUAAAUGGCUUACCAUGACAGGGGGUGAAGAUGUGUGUUUAACAUGACUCCCGACGAUGGAAUGUCAUGUUAGAAUGGGCUGUCAUGGGACUAUAUACAUGCAGGAAGCGGUUUAUUUUAUCACACCUUUGUUAUU